GCUACGGGAGGCAGCAGUGAGGAAUAUUGGUCAAUGGGCUUACGCCUGAACCAGCCAAGUCGCGUGAGGGAAGACUGCCCUAUGGGUUGUAAACCUCUUUUGUCAGGGAGCAACGCCGGCUACGUGUAGCCGGACUGAGAGUCCCUGAAGAAAAAGCAUCGGCUAACUCCGUGCCAGCAGCCGCGGGAAUACGGAGGAUGCGAGCGUUAUACGGAUUUAUUGGGUUGAAAGGAGGCGUAGGCGGAAUGCAAAGUCAGCGGUAAAAUCGCGGGGCUCAACCUCGCUCCGCGUUUGAAACUGGCGUGCUUGAGUGGGCGUGAAGGAUGCGGAAUGCGUGGUGUAGCGGUGAAAUGCUUAGAUAUCACGAAGAACUCCGAUUGCGAAGGCAGCAUACCGGCGCCCAACUGACGCUGAAGCACGAAAGCGUGGGUAUCGAACAGGAUUAGAUACCCCUGUAGUC
Molecule: ribosomal RNA, 460 nt
Filed under: uncultured bacterium
Lineage: Bacteria
Description: partial 16S ribosomal RNA
Rfam family: Bacterial small subunit ribosomal RNA
Source: RNAcentral